RNAcentral lists this ribosomal RNA (646 nucleotides) under uncultured organism. Its description in RNAcentral is "bacterial SSU rRNA". It matches the Rfam family "Bacterial small subunit ribosomal RNA", at positions 1 to 663 of the family's 1533-position model. The record is from RNAcentral.
GGCUUAGAGUUUGAUCAUGGCUCAGGACGAACGCUGGCGGCGUGCCUAACACAUGCAAGUCGAACGGAGCGAUUGGUUUCGAUUGAUCGCUUAGUGGCGAACGGGUGAGUAACGCGUGAGGAACCUGCCUUUCAGUGGGGGACAACAGUUGGAAACGACUGCUAAUACCGCAUGACGCUCUUGGGGGGCAUCCCCUGGGAGUCAAAGAUUUAUUGCUGAAAGAUGGCCUCGCGUCUGAUUAGCUAGUUGGUGGGGUAACGGCCUACCAAGGCGACGAUCAGUAGCCGGUCUGAGAGGAUGAACGGCCACAUUGGGACUGAGAUACGGCCCAGACUCCUACGGGAGGCAGCAGUGGGGAAUAUUGGGCAAUGGGGGAGACCCUGACCCAGCAACGCCGCGUGAAGGAAGAAGGCCCUCGGGUUGUAAACUUCUUUUACCAGGGACGAAGGACGUGACGGUACCUGGAGAAAAAGCAACGGCUAACUACGUGCCAGCAGCCGCGGUAAUACGUAGGUUGCAAGCGUUGUCCGGAAUUACUGGGUGUAAAGGGCGUGUAGGCGGAGGAGCAAGUCACAUGUGAAAUCCCGGGGCUCAACCUCGGAACUGCAUUUGAAACUGUUCCCCUUGAGUAUCGGAGAGGCAAGCG